Molecule: long non-coding RNA, 889 nt
Organism: Oryzias melastigma (Indian medaka)
Lineage: Eukaryota; Metazoa; Chordata; Actinopteri; Beloniformes; Adrianichthyidae
Exons: 3
Source: RefSeq, a predicted model, not a curated record
CAUAAUCAUAAUUAAAAGACCACUGGGAAUGCUUUUAAAAUAAACCAAAAGAUGGUCUUUAAAGCAAGAAAAUGUGUAAAAUCAAGUUUCCUGGUAUUCAUUUAUUUUCUGUCUGUUGGCAGCCCACAUCAAACAUAGCAAACCUAUAAAAUAAUAGUGUAAUGAGGAACAAUUCACCCCGGCCUGUGACUCAUCUUAAAUCAAUACUAUUUCUCAUGAGAUUCCAACAAAGAGCUCGACAAGGAUUUCAUCAGGUUAAAAGUUUGUGAGUCAAUAAACCAGGCCGAUCAAAUCUCAAAAUGAAAAGUGUGUUUUGUUUUUCCGGAGAGAAGGCCCAGCAGCUGGGUCAGGAGUUUUCUCUCCCUGCAUGAUUAAUGGAGGCCCCGCCGCUUUUCAUAUCGCUGCAACCAGAAGCAGAGCGUCUCCAGAACUCGUCUGCUCGGCGUCGUGGGAACGGUGUCAGCCCGGCACCGUGAGGCGUCUCCCAUCACCUCCAAAACAAACAGCCAAGCGUUUUUCAGAAAUAGCCGCGAUGGCCAUUAAUCAAGGUCCCAGGCAGGUCCUGAACUCUCCAAACAUGGAAUCCACCUGAGAGACGGGGGUAGCUCAUGUGCGGCUGCAGAUCUGCAGGCCAGCGCACACACCGCUCACCUGUCCGUCACCGCAGCAUCUCGCAGGGAGGGACGAGCCAAAGCUUCUGCUGCUGGCUGCGAAAUGUUACUUAAAGGUGUCAUAAAAAUCUCCGACAGACUUUAUCAUUAAAAGGAAGAAGGUGCUUCCUCAACCAGGAAAGCAGGAGGCCUCAUUGUGAGAGGAGAAAAGAAGCAACUGUGUCCUCUUGUUCCUGACAAUGGGACUUCAAUUAAAGUCACAGUGGAGCGCAAGUUGA